CAAUAGCGUAUAUUUAAGUUGUUGCAGUUAAAAAGCUCGUAGUUGGAUUUCGGAUGGGGCUUGCCGGUCCGUCGUUUCGAUGUGCACUGGCCAGUCCUAUCUUGUUGUCGGGGACUAGCUCCUGGGCUUCACUGUCCGGGACUAGGAGCUGACGAGGUUACUUUGAGUAAAUUAGAGUGUUCAAAGCAAGCCUACGCUCUGAAUACAUUAGCAUGGAAUAACACGAUAGGACUCUGGCUUAUCUUGUUGGUCUGUGGGACCAGAGUAAUGAUUAAGAGGGACAGUCGGGGGCAUUCGUAUUUCAUUGUCAGAGGUGAAAUUCUUGGAUUUAUGAAAGACGAACUUCUGCGAAAGCAUUUGUCAAGGAUGUUUNCAUUAA
This 379-nucleotide ribosomal RNA is filed under the name uncultured eukaryote. RNAcentral describes it as "partial 18S ribosomal RNA". It matches the Rfam family "Eukaryotic small subunit ribosomal RNA", at positions 592 to 976 of the family's 1831-position model. The record is from RNAcentral.